Molecule: non-coding RNA, 739 nt
Organism: Linepithema humile (Argentine ant)
Lineage: Eukaryota; Metazoa; Arthropoda; Insecta; Hymenoptera; Formicidae
Source: RefSeq, a predicted model, not a curated record
UUUGCCUCAUCUUAUGUGUCUUAAUCUCUCUUCUAAUCACCUUGGGAAAUCUGAUCGCAAUACGUGGGAAUGGCUAGAGCAAACUGCAAUCAGAAUUAGAUUGUGUGAUUUAAAUCUGUCGGACAAUCUGUUAAUGGAAUUACCGCCACAAAUUGGAAAACUAAAUACUUUAUUUUUUUAAAUCUCAAAUGCAAUAAGUUAAAAUAUUUACCACAAAGUCUCGCAAAUCUAAAAAAUUUAACAUUUCUUGAUUUGUCCGACAAUGAUUUAUUAUAUUUACCAGGAAGUAUAGCACAGUCAUGGGCGUUUAUAAAUGUUAAUGGGAAUCCAUUUAAUUUAGAUGACGAUAGUUAUGAUAAUUCGACUACGAAUUUGGAAGUGCCAAGUCUUCUGGAUUGUUCAGCUGAAAUUUUCCUGAAAUAUAGAUUAAAUUACACAAACGGAUUACCACAAGAAUUAGUCAAAUAUUUGGAUAAUAAAAGAUAUUGCUUCUUUUGUGUAACUCCAUGUUUUCGUUAUUAUGGAAAGCGCUUUAUAAAUUAUCUUAAGUAUAAGAAAAUACUGAAUCCUAAGUUUAUCCCGGUUCUAUCACUACAUAUUGAGAAAGCAAAGUUUGAAUGUUACGCUUGUUCAUCAGAAUGUGCUAAAAGAUUAAAGUUUGAUUAGUUUAUUCGACUUAAAAUUUACAAAAUGUAAUCUAUAUAAAAAUAUCUGAUAUAGCCGAUAUCAAAACUUUUGA